RNAcentral lists this long non-coding RNA (501 nucleotides) under Gossypium barbadense (sea-island cotton). Its description in RNAcentral is "long non-coding RNA (GBAR_LNC018612)". The record is from RNAcentral. Lineage: Eukaryota; Viridiplantae; Streptophyta; Magnoliopsida; Malvales; Malvaceae.
UAUCGCCCGAGAAGAGAGGGUUUCACAAAUGUUGGGCAACAAACCUUUCUUCGUCCUUCUUGACUUCCUUGACAAGCUGCAAGGCGGAUAAAGUGGGCACACUCUUUUUUACAUUAAGACUUGGAAUCAUAACCGAAAGCGCUACGGCUAGGGCGAAUGGUUCUAGAAAAGGAACCCCAAGCCACAUUCAUUCGAUCUUUAAACCAACUGAAGGACUCGAUGACUGGGUUACUUCGGAACAUACUCUAGGAAAAAGGCUAAUAGCUACCUCUCCACCUCCGUUUGAGGAAGGAGGAAUCAGCAAAGAAAAGAAAAAGGAGUUGCGCCCGACCGCAGCAUUAUGGUAUGGCUCUGGCAUGGAACAACCUCCCUUACUCCAUAGGACACGAUAAGGUUGAGCUUACAGAGCCCGACCAUCUUCUCCCGAUUUACCUGGUGGCCGAAAAAUGCAUGAUCCCACCUGUCUGAUUGUUAUGAGAUUUUCGUGACUUUCUUUUAUUU